This 723-nucleotide ribosomal RNA is filed under the name Vibrio sp. 14G05. RNAcentral's name for it is "bacterial SSU rRNA". It matches the Rfam family "Bacterial small subunit ribosomal RNA", at positions 33 to 735 of the family's 1533-position model. Lineage: Bacteria; Pseudomonadati; Pseudomonadota; Gammaproteobacteria; Vibrionales; Vibrionaceae. The record is from RNAcentral.
ACGCUGGCGGCAGGCCUAACACAUGCAAGUCGAGCGGAAACGACAUUAACAAUCCUUCGGGUGCGUUAAUGGGCGUCGAGCGGCGGACGGGUGAGUAAUGCCUAGGAAAUUGCCUUGAUGUGGGGGAUAACCAUUGGAAACGAUGGCUAAUACCGCAUAAUGCCUACGGGCCAAAGAGGGGGACCUUCGGGCCUCUCGCGUCAAGAUAUGCCUAGGUGGGAUUAGCUAGUUGGUGAGGUAAUGGCUCACCAAGGCGACGAUCCCUAGCUGGUCUGAGAGGAUGAUCAGCCACACUGGAACUGAGACACGGUCCAGACUCCUACGGGAGGCAGCAGUGGGGAAUAUUGCACAAUGGGCGAAAGCCUGAUGCAGCCAUGCCGCGUGUAUGAAGAAGGCCUUCGGGUUGUAAAGUACUUUCAGUUGUGAGGAAGGGUGUGUAGUUAAUAGCUGCRYAUCUUGACGUUAGCAACAGAAGAAGCACCGGCUAACUCCGUGCCAGCAGCCGCGGUAAUACGGAGGGUGCGAGCGUUAAUCGGAAUUACUGGGCGUAAAGCGCAUGCAGGUGGUUCAUUAAGUCAGAUGUGAAAGCCCGGGGCUCAACCUCGGAACUGCAUUUGAAACUGGUGAACUAGAGUGCUGUAGAGGGGGGUAGAAUUUCAGGUGUAGCGGUGAAAUGCGUAGAGAUCUGAAGGAAUACCAGUGGCGAAGGCGGCCCCCUGGACA